This 433-nucleotide ribosomal RNA is filed under the name uncultured bacterium. RNAcentral's name for it is "partial 16S ribosomal RNA". It matches the Rfam family "Bacterial small subunit ribosomal RNA", at positions 29 to 507 of the family's 1533-position model. The record is from RNAcentral.
AACGAACGCUGGCGGCAUGCCUAACACAUGCAAGUCGAACGAGACCUUCGGGUCUAGUGGCGCACGGGUGCGUAACGCGUGGGAACCUGCCCUUAGGUUCGGAAUAACUCCCCGACAGGGGUGCUAAUACCGGAUAAUGUCUUCGGACCAAAGAUUUAUCGCCUUUGGAUGGGCCCGCGUUGGAUUAGCUAGUUGGUAGGGUAAAAGCCUACCAAGGCGACGAUCCAUAGCUGGUUUGAGAGGAUGAUCAGCCACACUGGGACUGAGACACGGCCCAGACUCCUACGGGAGGCAGCAGUGGGGAAUAUUGGACAAUGGGCGAAAGCCUGAUCCAGCAAUGCCGCGUGAGUGAUGAAGGCCUUAGGGUUGUAAAGCUCUUUUACCCGGGAUGAUAAUGACAGUACCGGGAGAAUAAGCUCCGGCUAACUCCGUG